RNAcentral lists this ribosomal RNA (435 nucleotides) under uncultured Flavobacterium sp. RNAcentral's name for it is "bacterial SSU rRNA". It matches the Rfam family "Bacterial small subunit ribosomal RNA", at positions 358 to 790 of the family's 1533-position model. Lineage: Bacteria; Pseudomonadati; Bacteroidota; Flavobacteriia; Flavobacteriales; Flavobacteriaceae. The record is from RNAcentral.
GGAAUAUUGGUCAAUGGGCGCAAGCCUGAACCAGCCAUGCCGCGUGCAGGAUGACGGUCCUAUGGAUUGUAAACUGCUUUUGUACGAGAAGAAACAACUCUACGUGUAGAGUCUUGACGGUAUCGUAAGAAUAAGGAUCGGCUAACUCCGUGCCAGCAGCCGCGGUAAUACGGAGGAUCCAAGCGUUAUCCGGAAUCAUUGGGUUUAAAGGGUCCGUAGGCGGUUUAGUAAGUCAGUGGUGAAAGCCCAUCGCUCAACGGUGGAACGGCCAUUGAUACUGCUAAACUUGAAUUAUUAGGAAGUAACUAGAAUAUGUAGUGUAGCGGUGAAAUGCUUAGAGAUUACAUGGAAUACCAAUUGCGAAGGCAGGUUACUACUAAUGGAUUGACGCUGAUGGACGAAAGCGUGGGUAGCGAACAGGAUUAGAUACCCUUG